This is a long non-coding RNA of Coregonus clupeaformis (lake whitefish), 879 nucleotides long. RefSeq lists it as uncharacterized. The transcript has 4 exons. The record is from RefSeq and is a predicted model, not a curated record. NCBI's taxonomy places the organism in Eukaryota, Metazoa, Chordata, Actinopteri, Salmoniformes, Salmonidae.
AAGCUUAUUAAAGAACCCACUCAAGCUGCCAAAGUUUUCAAAGAGAAUCUGCUAAGGGAACAUGCAACUGGGAAACCACUUAGAAUGAAGAUGGAUGUAAGGGACUCUGAAGAGGACAGGGAACGGGAGCUUCUCUUAUUCUAUAAACAGCAGCAAGAAUGGGCAUGUCCACUUCAUUGUACUCUGGUUGGUGAUGUUGCUAUCGGAGAGGGAGUGAUGCGGUACUUUAUGACAACAAUCAUAUCCAAACUCCAGUUUGGAUUCAGUCUAGAUCUUGGAGGAAUGGGCCGAACACUGCUAUUUGAGGGUGAACCUGACCAUCUUGUUCCAGCAGCAUCAGAGGCACUUAUUGAAAGCAACCUCUUCCGGGUUGCAGGAAGGAUGUUGGGCCACACCUUUCUGCAUGAUGGUCCCCAUGUCACAGGACUAAGUCCUGCUGUAAUUCAUGUACUGUUCAAUGGGGACCCUGAAAUGGCUACUGUUGUUACAGAAGAGUGUCCUGAUCUGCACAUCAGGAGCAUCAUAGAACUGCUUGAACAUGAAGAUCUUACACCGGAACAGAAGGACACAGUUUCAGAUCUUUCCAUGUCUUGGGAUCUUCCGGCAGUCACCAAAACAAAUCGGAGAUGGCUACAUAACAAACUUCUACUCCAUGCAGUGAGUUCCUGCUGGUUAAGUGACAGAAUUCAUCGCUGUACUUGUUGAAAUUAUAGAAUGUGUUGUGAACCCUGGCUUGUUAUGUUAACACGAGAGUUUAAGUACUAGAGUUUUAAUGGAUUUUUAUAAAGCACUUUAUUGUGUUUAUUAACAUUUUUCCUACUGUGCCAACUUUUGUCAAAUUUGGGUUAAGGAUUUGGGCUGUAAUAUGGGUCGGUCUGU